This is a long non-coding RNA of Cotesia glomerata, 521 nucleotides long. RefSeq lists it as uncharacterized. The transcript has 3 exons. Lineage: Eukaryota; Metazoa; Arthropoda; Insecta; Hymenoptera; Braconidae. The record is from RefSeq and is a predicted model, not a curated record.
UGUCUAUUUCUAAUGCCUGUAUUAAAUAAUGACGUUUUUCUGCUGUCAUAUGAUGUCUAUAUAGACAAUAAUAAUAAUAACAAUAAUAAUAAUAAUAAAUAAAGUAGCUAUCCGAGUGGGAUAUAUUUUUUAAUAGAUGCAAUUUUAUGCGCAUGACAUUACAUGCAUUGUAAAGCAUGCUUUAUUUAUUUUAUUUAUUUAUUUAUUUUUAUUUACACAUUACAAACCCAAUUUGACAUUAUAUACGCACUUCGUUUGAUCGAAAUAACGUUAACCGUGACGACGUCAUCGCUCAAGUUGAAGCAAGUGCUUCCAAAAUAAUAACAUCUGAAACUUUUUGGAACUCGUGCCAAUGACAGAGAAAUCGCGCAGUUUUUUUCUGUCUAGACUGUAAUUUUAGUUCAAAUUUUUACGUUUUAAUUAAUUUUAAAGUAAGAUUGAAGAAAUAUGUGCAAAGAAGAAAUAAUAGAAAUUUGACAGGUUUUAUUUAUUGACAGCUACCAAAAAUUUUUUAUUAUUCU